Molecule: long non-coding RNA, 2971 nt
Organism: Budorcas taxicolor (takin)
Lineage: Eukaryota; Metazoa; Chordata; Mammalia; Artiodactyla; Bovidae
Exons: 5
Source: RefSeq, a predicted model, not a curated record
GUCUGGGUGUGCGGAGAGCGCGCGCGCGGCUCGGAGGCGCACCUGUGAGGUGUCCCUUGAGGAGAGGGAGGGUGGGUGCGCGGAGUCCGCGGCCUGGGGCGCUUCAACCCCUCACUUGGAAGCGCCUCGCGUCCCAGCAGAGCCAGCGGAGCAUCCUACUCAGGUGAUGAGGAACCCUCCAGGCACCCAGCGCAGAUCGCUGCUGCCGCUGGACGCCUCCAUUGUUUGACCAUAACAAGGGCCGGAUUCUCACCCAGGAUCCCAAGGCUCUUGUUGCCCUUCAGCCACUGUGGGCCCUGACUCUUGCUCUGGAAUGUCUUGGGGGUUUUGACUUCUGUCACUGUGACCUGCAAAUCCAAGAGACACAUCUCUGGAAGAGAGAGCUCCUUCCUCAAGAUCACAGAAGGAGACCGCCAGAGCAACAGCUGUGCAGGGAGACCUCACAAGGAAGGGUUGACACGCCUGGACCCGCGGUGCUUGCUUCCUGGGAGGCUCCUGUCUGAUGCGAAGGAAGCAGGAUGUCAUAGUGCCUCUGCAAGGGGAGGCUCCCGGGGACCGAGGCCAGCACGCAGGACUGCGCCCUCGGCCGCAGGGGACACUGGGCAGGCCUUUCCCUGCAAGUGAGACGAACGAGAUUAUUCUGCAAGAGGAAGAUUCCAGGGGCUUAAAAGCACAAAGGUUUGCACCCUGGCAGCCUCUUGGAAUGUUGACAGCUCAGGAUCUAAAAGAAAGUGCUGUGUUAAUGAGUUCCAGAGUUGAUGUGGAUAUACAUGUCACUUUAUAAUCAGUAAUAAUACUGAGUGAGGAACACUAUGCAGGAAGAAACCUUCCAUAGAAAGACAGGCAGGGAAAAGCUUAGGCCGACCUCAGACCUCCCGCAUAGAGCCAGCUUGAGAUAAACGCCACCAUGGCCAAAUGAGAGACUCUGAGACAGCCGCCUGUAACUGUAGUCUUUGUAAGGAAAUCUCUAAAUCACGAUACCAAAUAGGAACCAUGAUCUACAAGUGCCCCAUGUGCAGGGAGUUUUUCUCUGAGAGAGCAGAUCUUUUUAUGCAUCAGAAAAUUCACACUGCUGAGAAGCCCCAUAAAUGUGACAAGUGUGACAAGGGUUUCUUUCAUAUAUCAGAACUUCAUAUUCAUUGGCGAGACCACACAGGAGAGAAGGUCUAUAAAUGUGAUGAUUGCGGUAAGGAUUUUAGUACUACGACCAAACUUAACAGACAUAAGAAAAUCCACACAGUGGAGAAGCCCUAUAAGUGUUACGAGUGUGGCAAAGCCUUCAAUUGGAGCUCACACCUGCAGAUUCACAUGAGAGUUCAUACAGGUGAGAAACCCUAUGUCUGUAGUGAGUGUGGAAGGGGCUUUAGCAAUAGUUCAAACCUCUGCAUGCAUCAGAGAGUGCACACCGGAGAGAAGCCCUUUAAAUGUGAAGAGUGUGGGAAGGCCUUCAGGCACACUUCCAGCCUCUGCAUGCAUCAGAGAGUCCACACAGGAGAGAAGCCCUAUAAAUGCUAUGAGUGUGGGAAGGCCUUCAGCCAGAGCUCCAGCCUCUGCAUCCAUCAGAGAGUGCACACGGGGGAGAAGCCCUAUAGGUGCUGUGGGUGUGGGAAGGCCUUCAGCCAGAGCUCCAGCCUCUGCAUCCAUCAGAGAGUGCACACAGGGGAAAAACCUUUUAAGUGCGAUGAGUGUGGGAAGGCCUUCAGUCAGAGCACCAGCCUCUGCAUCCACCAGAGAGUGCACACAAAGGAGAGAAACCAUCUCAAAAUAUCAGUUAUAUAAAGUGUUUUGCUAAGAGUUAAAAAAAAAUUCUUAAAACCCAUAAGUGCCACUAGGAAGGAAAAACCCUGUAAAUACCUACAUUGAUCCAAGAAAUUUUUACAGCAGGACCCAGCAGAACAUUGUUUUCCAGGAGGCAUGUGUGAGGGUGAGUUUUUGGAUUCAUGCCAAGUGUGUUGCACAACUUGUGAAUCUGGAGCUCCUGUGAGUGUGUGCCCAGGGCAGGCUGUGAGGUCCCAGUCGUGGGUGUGCAUUUCCUGGGAUUCUGGUGGAAUACACAGGAAACCAUGGUGGUUGCACAGCCUCCCAAGUCACCUUCUGUCUACACUUAACCUAAAAGUUAGCCCAGAUACUGCCCCAUUUCAGGAACACGAUCUUCCUUCUCUUGAUCCCAGGUGAAUCCAUCUGAAAACGGCCAGCUCCCACCAAGUAGUGUUCUGGCACUUCAGAGGUUACCACUUGGUUUAGCCUCUCCAUAUCUGUCCAUGUAUCCCAUUGCAUCUGCACUCACUUUACCCGUGUAUCCUCCAAAUGCCCAUAAAUAUCCACCCCUUCCUAGAUGGCAUCAAAUUUCAUUUUAGGUUUUAGGUGACUCAUGAUGGCCACUUUGCCUAUCAGAGAAAAUCAUUGGCCAGCAUACACGCCCUUGAACUUUAAUUUUGUGAAUUCUGCUAAUCACUGUGUCACUGUUAGACUUAAUUUUCUAGUGGCUAUAUCACAUAUUUUUAACUUGAAUAUUUUUUUGUUUUUUUGGGGGGGGACAAUAGCUGAAUGUAAAUAGGGAGGAGGAAGUGAGCGGAGUUAGGAUUUUUCUCCAUCCAGAACUGCCCUCUGGGGCUCCUUUAGUAACACGUGGAGCCACUUUCCUAUAGGAAAAGCGGAUGGUAGGAGGCGUCCCUAAUAAUAGUUUCUGUUUCUGUAAUUUUGGGCAAUAAUGUGUAGGAUUACAUAUCCGUUCCUUUGUAGGCAGGAAAGUCUCUGUUAACCUCUCCUUUUCUUUCUUCAUUCAUUGGACAAAUAUUUAUUGAACACCUCCUAUGUGCCAGGCACUGUGCCCCUUGCGGGGGAUACCACUGAGUAAGACAGACAGGGGCCCUACUCGCGUGGAGUUGACUUCUGGUGGAGGAGACAGAUGAUAAGCAAGUAAACAAAUAACGUAGUGUGAGAUAGUGAUUUAAGUGCUAUGGAGAAAAUA